GAAAUGCCCGCUUUUGAGGGACCUCAUGGCUGCCUCGUCUGCCUGGUGUCUGUCCUGCUGCUCCGUCCUUUUUUCUGUCUGGUCUUUGACCUCCCUUCGAAAUAAGAAAACCCUUUUUUGUGUUAUUUAUUUCUACAAUCACAGGGCGGCUUAGGGUAUAAAAACACCAAAAAAUAACAUCAACAAAAUGGCCCCGCCCAGGUCAUACAUAAUGCUUUCUGACUAUAGAGGAAUCUUUUCCCCUGGUGCCUAAAGAAAUGGAGGUAAAAAUUGGGGUUUGGCUUUUGCUGCCCAACUCUCCCAUGGGACUCUGAGAAGAAUGGAUGGAGGCAGGAUCCAGUGGAAAGCAAGGCAGAUCUUUAUUUUUCUGCUGAAACAGAGUUCCCUCUCUUCCAAGGAGGGAGAGACCCUGAACAAAAGGGUGCAGGAGCCUUUAAAGCCAAAGACCACCCAAAAAUCAUACAUCCACCAUAGGAGGCGAUCUGCAGCAGAAAUCCCAUCGGCCAGGUACUUGAAAACAGCUGCUGUUUGUGUUACCUGGACAGCCUGGCCAUUCUUCUGGAAUGCUUUAUACUUUCCUGAAUUCAGGUCCUAGGCUCACCCUAUCCCUACACAAAUGCCCCCAUAAGAUGGGGUUUGUAAGCAGAAAAGACAACAGGAAGGUUUUCCCCAUUUGCCUCCCUUACUGCAGAGGAAUGUUUGAGGUUGUCGGGAGAGUCAAAAUGCCUUCCAGAUUGCUCUCCCAUACUUUUCCAGACAAGUGGCUUUAUAUGGGACGCGGGUAGUGCUGUGGUCUAAACUACAAAGCCUAGGAAUUGCCGAUCUGAAGGUUGGUGGUUCGAAUCCCCGCAACAGGGUGAGCUCCCGUUGCUCGGUCCCUGCUCCUGUCAACCUAGCAGUUCAAAAGCACGUCAAAGUGCAAGAAGAAGAAGAGGAGUUUGGAUUUGAUAUCCCGCUUUAUCACUACCCGAAGGAGUCUCAAAGCGGCUAACAUUCUCCUUUCCCUUCCGUGCCCACAACAAACACUCUGUGAGGUGAGUGGGGCCGAGAGACUUCAAAGAAGUGUGACUAGCCCAAGGUCACCCAGCAGCUGCAUGUGGAGGAGUGGGGAAGCGAACCCGGUUCACCAGAUUACGAUUCUACCGCUCUUAACCACUACACCACACUGGCUCUCUACACUACACCACACUGCAAGUAGAUAAAUAGGUACCGCUUGGGUAGGAAGGUAAACGGCGUUUCCAUGUGCUGCUCUGGUUCACCAGAAGCGGCUUAGUCAUGCUGGCCACAUGACCCGGAAGCUGUAUGCCUGAUCCCUUGGCCAAAAAAGCGAGAUGAGCGUCGCAACCCCAGAGUCGGCCACGACUGGACCUAAUGGUCAGGGGUCCCUUUACCUUUACCUUUUAUGAAUAUUUAUUCCAUAUUUGAGGCCUUUGAAUUCUUAGAACAAUUGGAGGGAAGGCACCUGGCAAGCCUUGCUGGGGAAAGCAUGCCACGUACUGUGAGCUACUGUGGAAAAGUCCUUGUACUCGUGUUUCUGCUCCCGUGGAGAAAGCCAUUGAGGAUCAGAAUCUGAGUAAAUUGCCCAUUUAUGUAAAGAGUCCUCACAGCUGUGGGGGUGCGAUAUCGAUGAUGCUGGGAAUGCCUUUGGAAGGGGGGUGCCCCUGCCAACUAGUGGGGUACAUUUUUUAGGAAGAGGGCUAAUAUCAGAGCUCUUGGGGUUAGGAGCUGUGUUUGUGGUGGAUGUCACAACGAAAAGGACAAUAUUUUAUUAGAUUUGUAUACCGCCCUGUGCCCGUAGAUCUCAGAGUUUGCAUUCUGGUUUGAAUCUAGAUUGGUUUCCUCCUUUAGAACUUGGACAGAUGGCACUGUAAUUUUUUUAAAAAACAUCUUGUUUUUAAACACUGGCCUCAAGUAUCAGCCGUGUACAGCAACAGGCAUGAUUCAUUAUAUUACUUCAGUGCCAAUUUGUUAGUCAAAUCCUCCAUCCACUGUGGAUUUUGAGACAUAAGAAACACGGCUGUUAAAUGAAAAUUAAAUUGUUCUGAUGGCAUCGGGUGCAAAAAUAAAUAAAUAAUCAAAUGAUUUGUUAGAUAUUUUGUUAAUCAAAUUUAGUCAUCAUGCAUUAAGGAAGGACAAAAGUACAAAGGAGAUUCAAACAACAGAAUUUACACACGUCUUCCAAAAGAGUAUAAUUCACUAAUAAAAACAUAAACUGUGCAAAACAGAUACAAACGUAAAAAUGAUGUCAAUAACCAUUCUCUUCCUUUGACAAUAAAAGCAAAUGUAAUUUCAAAUAAUAUGUUGAGAAACAUGUCAAAGAUUAGCUUUUCUUUUUCAAUAAAAAACAGCGAAUGAGAAUUAUUGGCAGCUCUAUAAUAUAUUGUUGCAGUACGUCUAAGCAACAUUUGCCAGUCAAAAACCUCAUAAUCAGUGACAUUCAAUACUUAUCUAGGUUAUGCUUCUAUUCUACUUAGUGUAUGUGUGGGGUUUUGUGUCAGUAUCACUUAUGUGGGUUCUCUUACUUUUUGCUUGUUGUGUUUCCUUGGUGGUGAGACAGGUUGGGGGUGACCUAGGGUGUGGUUGGUUGUCUUUGGUAGGCUGGAGUGAGGUGUGUGUGUGUGUGCGCGCGCGCACGGUGUGUGUGUAGAUUUUUGGAUCAAGUUAGCCAGAUUGAUUCAUAUGCUUGUUGUCUUGUUGGGCUAUGUAUGUGAUAAAGGGGAACCAUACCAGGGUGAAGGCAUCUUCUAUUUGUCCCCACAUCCGUUUCAGUUUAUUGGUUAGUAUUUCUAAUAAGGCUAUUUCCCAUUCUAUUUGAUACCAUUGGUCCAUGCUUACUACUGACAGGUCUCUCCAGUGUCUGGUUAUGAUGCCUCUGGCUACUGAGAGUAGGUGGGUUAUAAGCUCUUUAUAAUGUAAGUGGGCAUUAUUACCUUGGAAGAUGGUCAGUGGGACCAGUUCUAAUACUUGCUUAGUUAUUUUUGCAUAUAACUGAUGUCCAGAAGAGUUGGAUUUGGGAACAUUACCACCACAUGUGGAAGUAUGUGCCUGUGGAGGUGCAUCCUCUCCAGCCUUUUGGUGAGGCUCCUGGGCAUAUCAGCGCCAGUUUCUGUGGUGUUAGGUACAAUCUGUAAAUGAGUUUCAGAGUCAGUUCUUUUAUUUUGCUUAGAUGAAUUUAAAGGGAGGUUUAGACCACAUUCUAUUCCAUUGGGUGGGGUUAAUCUCAUAGACUAUGUCGUCUUCCCAUUGUUUUUUGAUUACAUCGAGGGGGUUUGUAGGAUUUUGGAGGAGUAUUUUUUAUAUUGUGGAUACCAUCCCCUUGACAUCCGAUUCACUCGAAAGCAGUGCAAACACCGGCAAAUGGUCCUCUGCAACUUUUGGUGGUGAAAACCCCACAUUUCACAGCACCCCAUAAAAUGAACCUUUGGUUCACUCACCCGCAGGGUCACAGUUUCGCCGCAAAACCCUACCCUUCUCUUUGGCCAGUCAAUCAGAGCCAAGGAAUUGGACUGCAUUUUCUGAAGAAGGCUGGUGUUUCUAGGGUUACCAUAUACUUGUCAGCUGCAUCAUGAAAUUCUGGUGCAUCAGUUCCCAUACAUUGGCAAUGAGAAUUCAUGCUGAACAGGUCCUCCCUGUUUCAAAGGGUGCAGAGUGUGGUUGCAUAACUACAUCGUGUUCUUUUUGGCAUACAAUGAAAACUUUUUUAUUUUCUCAGGCUUUUAAAACAGAUGCUUUUACUACACUUUAGGUAGUUGGCACAAAUCACUUCCCAUCCAACCCCCUUGCUGGUUUUUAGAGCCCAUAUAGACAGUAUACUGCCUUGGGCUGGGUUUUAUCCUGAUUUUCAUCUUAUAUUGUACCAAUACAGUUUUAAUAAUAUAUAAACCAGGCAACAAUAUUUCAAGACACACAACAGCCCCUCUCACGGCCCACUAAUUCCGCACUAGACCAUUCGUGUCUUUCUUGUCAUGCUUUCCUAUACAUUCUUUCUGACGCAAUCUCAAAGGUGCAAAUAGUAAUUGCAUUAAAGGUAAAGGUACCCCUGCCCGUACGGGCCAGUUGUGUCCAACUCUAGGGUUGUGCGCCCAUCUCACUUAAGAGGCCGGGGGCCAGCGCUGUCCGGAGACACUUCCGGGUCACGUGGCCAGCGUGACAAAGCUGGUCUGGCGAGCCGGCACCAGCGCAGCACACGGAAAUGCCGUUUACCUUCCCGCUAUAAAGCGGUACCUAUUUAUCUACUUGCACUUAAGCGUGCUUUCGAACUCCUAGGUGGGCAGGAGCUGGGACCGAAAGACGGGAGCUCACCCCGCCGCGGGGAUUCGAACCGCCGACCAUGCGAUCGGCAAGCCCUAGGCACUGAGGUUUUACCCACAGCGCCACCCGCGUCCCUUAAUUGCAUUACUUGUUGGUUAAUGUUGACAACCAAUAUAUUAAUAAUAAAUUAAUGGUUGUUAAGUCAUCUAUAAAGUAUUUCAAGAAGCAAGAGCUAUGCAGCGACUGGAAAUAAAAGGACAAAUCCCCUUUUUAAAAGGAUGAGACCCCCUUUUUAAAAAGACAAAACACAGGCUUGCAAUUUAAAAGGACAAGGCCAUAAGGAAAAAGGGAAAGAAAAGUAGGGGAUGAGAUUAAAGGUCACAGUCUUCAGGAGAAAAGGUGUUUUCAAAUACCGUUUACACAGUUGCAAAAAGGGUGAAGUGCAGAUGUUAGGAGAUGGUGAAGCCGCAGAGAAAAGUGGCUUUAUCUUAUAUCGCAUCCAUUCACUAUGUUUGAUCCAAUUUGGGAAGGGCUGUAGCUCAGUGGUAGAUGCUUUCUUCAAUCCCCAUCAUCUCCAGAUAGGCUUGUCUGAAAUCCUGCCAAUUAGUGUAAAGUGGGGAUGGGGAACACUUUUGACCCUGGAGGCCAGUUCUUUAUCUCCCCUCACCCUACAAAUCAACUUUCCCUCGCACUCCUUCCGCUGCUGACAAUUGUAAAAGUGACAAUGGAAAAAACUGGCAAUUGUAAAAUUGCAAAAUUGCUGACAAUUGUAAAAAUCUGCUGCAGCGCUGCAUGUUCCUUCUGUGUCCCCCCUCUCUUCUGUUCCUUAACACAAAAUGCUUACGCUCAACCUGUCUUGAAAUGGCUUUCACCAAGUAAUUUAUACGUUCCUUGCAAAUUACAUAGCACAGAUUAGGGAAGAAAGGGCACUAUGUCCUCAUGUAGGUUUGCCAACCUACAGUUUUGUUCAUUCAAAAUUGCUUCCACAGCUGUCCAAAGAAGUAUGAAUGCAGAGACCCAACACAUUGCCCAUAUUUCCCUAGUAAUGAUUGUUCUCCGGAAUUCCACCUAGGAGCAUUUAUUUCCCAAGGCAGUGCUUUUUAAAAAUAGUGAACCCGAUCUACCAGACGUGACACAAGCCUACACUGAGGAAUGGAAAAGAGUACAUAUGACCAAGGAUGCUAGUCAAGCUGAUGGGUACCAUGGCCAUGAGGGGUUUACAAAUAAAUGUUAAUAAAAUGUCUAGGAAUGCUUUGGCUCUACAAAACACACACACAAAAAUACUGUAUAUAAAAUAUAUAAAUAUCUACAAAAUGGAAAUGUGUUUUUCUUGUAUUUCCUUGGGCCACGAGAGGGAGCCCAAGUGUAGUCAGAAAAAAAGGCGCAGGGGUUCAGCGUGCCAAGGAAAAGUGCAUUAACAUUAUGUAGGCGUCCAGGAAUUCAGUGUCAGCUUAAAUGCACGCCCAGAUUGUAAUACAUAGAGAGUUUAAUUGAAAUCAUACCAAAUGUAUAUGCAUUGCUUCUCCAGCAGGCCAACCAGAAAAGCAGAAUGAAGAGUCAUUUUUCUUUCAAUGAGUGGUUUCACACCCAUUUGUUUCCUUGAUGCUUUCUCAAGCAAGGAUGUGCAAAGGUUUGCAAGGCAUGACACUAUUUAUGAAAUGGCAUCUGAAAUGAAGUUACAAUACUCAUAUCAUUUUUCUUCCAAUCUUGCUUUUCCACUCUUCUUAUUUUCACAAAAUUGAUCAUGGCUGAUAAAUCUAAAAACUACAGUGGUACCUCGCAAGAGGAAUGCCUCGCAAGACGGAAAACUCGCAAAACGAAAGGGUUUUUGGUUUUUUGAGUUGCUUCGCAAGACAAUUUUCCCUAUGGGCUUGCUUUGCAAGACGGAAACGUCUUGCAAGUUUGUUUCCUUUUUCUUAAAACCGUUAAUACAGUUGCGACUUGACUUCGAGGAGCAAUUCAUAGCACGCGGUGUGGUAGCCUUUUUUGAGGUUUUUGAGGACUUUGGUGAUUUUUGAAACUUUCCCAAAGCUUUUCCAACACCGUGCUUCGCAAGAUGAAAAAACCGCAAGACGAAAAAACUCGCGGAACGAAUUAAUUUCGUCUUGCGAGGCACCACUGUACUUCAGUUGUUAUUAUCUCUAGACAUGGACAUUUUGUAAAGAGCAAUGCCAUUCGAUAGCAAAUUUGGAACAUGUCACCAAAUACUUUCCAACAAACGCUAGCUCCAUAAAUAGCACGGGGCGUCUUGGGCAAAUAGUUCCUCUAUUGUUGUACAGCAUAUUGUUUUAACAUUUCCCCCCAUUGAUGUAAAGUACAUUGUUCAUUAGGAAGUUCUCCUGCACAAGUCCAUCUGAAAGGGAGCUGUGCAAGAACAGUGUGUUCUUCUUACAAAGGAGCACUUUUAUGCAAUUCCCUUUUGCCUUAGCAUUGCUUGGAGACAAGUUCCCGGUGGAUUGUAUCCUUAAAGUUUGACAUUCUCAUUAUUCAACACUACCCAGUUUCAGAUUUUGUAACACAUGCUAACUACAGGCAUAUAUUAAUGUAUUAUAUUGGUAUGUCAGGUAUGCCAAACGAUUCACGGAAGCCAGCAAAACAGAAUUGUGUGACAACAAUGAAUUUGCCCAGAGUGCUCAGCUCAUUAGUGUAUCCACAAUACUAUGCAGCAUACAAAUCAAACUUUUCUUCCUUUUAGUACUCAGCUACUUAUUUGCAUUGUACUUCUAUUAUUGCAUUUCAGAUAAUCCUGAAACAAUUUAUCCAGCUAAAGUGCUGGUCAUUGACUGUAGCUAUAAAGACUUCAGUUUAAGAGCAACCUUCUAGCAAACCUUCGGCAUUAGAUCCAUUUCAGUCCGGUUUCCGUCCUGGUUUUGGGAUGGAGACAGCUCUGGUCGCCCUAACAGAUGAUCUCCGUAGACAACUGGAUCGAGGCGGGUCAGGACUGCUGAUCCUUUUAGAUUUGUCAGCAGCCUUUGUCAUGGUCGAUCAUGAUCUUCUGGACCACCGCCUCGCAGACGUGGGGAUACAGGGCAUAGCCCGUAACUGGUUGUGCUCUUUUAUCUCUGGUCGGGGACAGAGGGUGGCACUAGGGAGGGAAAUGUCAUCGCGCCACUCCUUGGUGUGUGGAGUGCCGCAGGGCGCAAUUCUUUUAACAUCUUUAUGCGCCCCCUUGCCCAGAUUAUCCGGAGCUUUGGGCUGGGCUGUCACCAAUAUGCUGAUGACACUCAGCUCUAUCUGCUGAUGGAUGGCCACACCGACUUGGCCCCGAACACACUGACCAGAUGCUUGGAAGCUGUGGCUGGAUGGUUUUGUGGGAGCCGAUUGAAACUAAAUCCUUCGAAGACAGAGGUCCUAUGGCUAGGUCGGGAUGGCAUGGGGAUGAGGGACCAACUCCCUUCUCUUGCGGGGGCCCAAUUAGUGCCAUUGCCUUCCGUUAAGAGUUUGGGUGUAAUCCUUGACGCCUCCCUUUCCAUGGAGGCGCAAGUUACAGCAACAGCCAAGGCGACAUUUUUCCACCUUUGCCGCAUCAAGCAGUUGGUCCCUUACCUUUCCCGCCCCGACCUGGCCACAGUGAUCCAUGCAACGGUCAUCUCCAGGCUUGACUACUGUAAUUCGCUCUACACGGGGCUGCCCUUGAAGCUGUCCCAGAAACUCCAGCGGGUACAGAAUGCUGCAGCGAGGCUCCUCACGGGGUCUCUGCCAUGGGAGCAUAUUCACCCAGUGCUUUUCAAGCUGCACUGGCUCCCGGUGGAGUACAGGGUCAGAUUUAAGGUGCUGCUUUUGCCCUUUAAAGCCCUUCACGGCCUAGGACCCUCGUACCUACGGGACUGCCUCUCCCG
Molecule: long non-coding RNA, 8090 nt
Filed under: Podarcis lilfordi (Lilford's wall lizard)
Lineage: Eukaryota; Metazoa; Chordata; Lepidosauria; Squamata; Lacertidae
Source: RNAcentral